Long non-coding RNA from Ailuropoda melanoleuca (giant panda), 704 nucleotides. RefSeq lists it as uncharacterized. Lineage: Eukaryota; Metazoa; Chordata; Mammalia; Carnivora; Ursidae. The transcript is spliced from 2 exons. The record is from RefSeq and is a predicted model, not a curated record.
ACUUGUGGGCUACGCAGGCGACGUAGCAAAGGUGGUUGGCUUGUGCCAUGGUCGAAAAUAACUGCAAACCCACGUUCCGACCUUCCCCCACCAAGCUGGAGACCAAAAGGGCUAGGAGCUGCUAAUUAUAAUUUGAUGCUCCGUUCUCCGGAAGUUCUUUUCGGAAACGAGGUGAAAGGGGGAGGGGAGUGAAGGCAGAGAUAAUUAUAAGGAUAGCUAUUCACGAAACGCGUUGGUACGCCGAAGGCGGCAGCUGACACCAAAACAAAGUAGUACCCAAACGGAGAAGCUGGGUCUCCGGAAAGAAAGCAGGGCAGAAACGAAAUACAUAUUCGGAGAGACGCACAGAAUGCCCAGGUUCCAAUAAGGAGUGGACCAACAGGGACCGGAGAGGAGGUCCGAAAGGGCACCAUCCUGUGGCUAAGGCCCUUCCCGCCAAACCGUCUGAUGUCGAGGUUCCCUGCUCCUUCUCCCAAAGCCAGCAGCACCUCCCCGAUCCUCGUCCCUCCUGCUUAAGUGACAGGGUGAGUGUGAACAAAGGCUCCUCCCCUCAUUUCCCAGCCCAGAGAGAAGAACCUAGGGCAGCUUUGGUUUCAAAGUUAUAAUGCAUGGUUUAAAAGAGAGGAAAGGAAAAAAAAAAAAGAGAGAGAGAGAGAAAGCUGGUUACAGGUCUGAGGGAAUCUAGGAAGAAGGGAAAAUAGAGG